CUAAUAUUCAAAUUGAAAAGGGCUUUCUGCAAAUAUCUGUCUUCACCAUUCUAUGUAAUUUUCAGUUUCCUGUUUUCAACUCUAAUUUUAGAUAUGAAUAGCGCGAUGACAUCAACAAUUUUUUCAAUGAAUGGCCAGACUUUGCCUUAGACGGAGAUAGGUGGAAAAAACAAGGGGAAGAGUUUUACCCAGCAGUGGGACACGUCAUCUAAAGCGUGCGGCAACUAAUUGCCGGCCAGCCGAGCGGACAAGACCGAGUGCGAUUGGCAGCUACGUACGCGUGACAGCAGAUAUUACUCGAUCAAUAUAGCCUGUUGUACUCUUCGUACAUAGAUAUAAUGGUCUACAGUAGAAUUAUAACUAUCAGAUUAAAAAUCCAUCGGGCAGGCAUAACAGAAACAUAAA
This is a long non-coding RNA of Plodia interpunctella (Indianmeal moth), 405 nucleotides long. RefSeq lists it as uncharacterized. Lineage: Eukaryota; Metazoa; Arthropoda; Insecta; Lepidoptera; Pyralidae. The transcript has 3 exons. The record is from RefSeq and is a predicted model, not a curated record.